AUUGAACGCUGGCGGCAGGCCUAACACAUGCGAGUCGAGCGGAUGAAGGGAGCUUGCUCCUGGAUUCAGCGGCGGGCGGGUGAGUAAUGCCUAGGAAUCUGCCUGGUAGUGGGGGAUAACGUCCGGAAACGGGCGCUAAUACCGCAUACGUCCUGAGGGAGAAAGUGGGGGAUCUUCGGACCUCACGCUAUCAGAUGAGCCUAGGUCGGAUUAGCUAGUUGGUGGGGUAAAGGCCUACCAAGGCGACGAUCCGUAACUGGUCUGAGAGGAUGAUCAGUCACACUGGAACUGAGACACGGUCCAGACUCCUACGGGAGGCAGCAGUGGGGAAUAUUGGACAAUGGGCGAAAGCCUGAUCCAGCCAUGCCGCGUGUGUGAAGAAGGUCUUCGGAUUGUAAAGCACUUUAGGUUGGGAGGAAGGGCAGUAAGUUAAUACCUUGCUGUUUUGACGUUACCAACAGAAUAAGCACCGGCUAACUUCGUG
RNAcentral lists this ribosomal RNA (484 nucleotides) under uncultured bacterium. RNAcentral's name for it is "partial 16S ribosomal RNA". It matches the Rfam family "Bacterial small subunit ribosomal RNA", at positions 30 to 507 of the family's 1533-position model. The record is from RNAcentral.